AUUCCAGCUCCAAUAGCGUAUAUUAAAGUUGUUGCGGUUAAAAAGCUCGUAGUUGGAUUUCUGGUUCGCUGCGCCUGGCCCGCCUGCGUUAGCAGUGUGAGUGCCGGUUGCGCGGCGGCCAUCCUUCCGGACAACGGGCCUGCCCUUCACUGGGUUGGGCCCGCGACCCGGAUCUUUUACUUUGAAAAAAUUAGAGUGUUUAAGGCAGGCAAUUGCCCUGAAUACAUUAGCAUGGAAUAAUGAUAUAGGACUUUGGUUCUAUUUUGUUGGUUUCUAGGACUAAAGUAAUGAUUGAUAGGGAUAGUUGGGGGUGCUAGUAUUGAGCGGCCAGAGGUGAAAUUCUUGGAUUCGCUCAAGACUAACUUAUGCGAAAGCAUUCACCAGGGAUGUUUUCAUUA
RNAcentral lists this ribosomal RNA (398 nucleotides) under Ventricleftida sp. RNAcentral describes it as "partial small subunit ribosomal RNA". It matches the Rfam family "Eukaryotic small subunit ribosomal RNA", at positions 582 to 975 of the family's 1831-position model. The record is from RNAcentral. Lineage: Eukaryota; Cercozoa; Thecofilosea; Ventricleftida.